RNAcentral lists this unclassified non-coding RNA (17 nucleotides) under Mus musculus (house mouse). Its description in RNAcentral is "oocyte_clustered_small_RNA6475". Lineage: Eukaryota; Metazoa; Chordata; Mammalia; Rodentia; Muridae. The record is from RNAcentral.
UUGAAGGCAUGAGAGGU